Dreissena polymorpha is the source of this 920-nucleotide long non-coding RNA. RefSeq lists it as uncharacterized. Lineage: Eukaryota; Metazoa; Mollusca; Bivalvia; Myida; Dreissenidae. The transcript has 4 exons. The record is from RefSeq and is a predicted model, not a curated record.
GAUGCGCUGUUGAAAAUUUACCGAUAUUGAGACGAUAUUGUUGAACUUGAUUUCGACUGCCAUUGUGAUUUCAAGAAAAAUAAUAAGCGACAAAAAUUUAAUCUGGCGCCAAAAGUGUGUAUUGGAUGUUGUCGUAAAGAAAGAGAGAGGUUCCCGGUAAAACAAUUGAUACAUAGCAUGACGACAGAAGCGCAGUAUACAUUUGCUACAUGCGCAGGAGGGUACAAGCAAGACGCCAUUUGGCAUUUCAUGAAAGGUCACACUAUGUGAUGUUACCCUUCAACUAUUGCGGCGUUGGAUUUGCAUCUAGGCGACAACUACAGAGACACAGAUGCAAUGCACACGGAGACGCAACGAAGUUUGUUUGUCUUAAUUAUGUUUUGAUCCAAGAUGACAUCCAAGUUGGACAUUCGUGUUUCAGACGUCUCGUCUUGGUACGCUUGCUACGCUUUCUGAAUUGGAGAGUUGGUUUUGAUCUCAUGAUUCCUACAAAGGAAAUAUAAAUAUUGUAAGAAAACAAAACAAUUAAGGUUUAUAAUAGUUCAAAUUUGAUCUUGGAAAUAAUAAUCAUUUAUCUUUAGUUUAUUUAAUGCUUUAUCUUUUUUAUUUACAUCACGAAAAAAUGCUUCAACUGGAAUUCGUUGCUUUUCAUGUUAGCCAAACAUUUUGUGUACCUUGGAUAUCUUAAUAUAUGGUGUUUUAUGAUAUGUUUUCCGGACCAAACACAUCGUAUAUGGAAUUAUUGCCCAGAUAUAUUAGUGCACUGCAAAAAGGCAUAUAAAACGCAUAGUUUUGAAGAUUUAAAAUGUGCUUGCCGUGCUUUCAUUUAUCGCAACGUAAACACUGUCAAUUUGCCUCGAAUGAUAGACUAAACUACUCGUCAUAUUCAUAUUACCGGGAAUACUACUUAACUUUACCUA